Molecule: long non-coding RNA, 832 nt
Filed under: Marmota monax (woodchuck)
Lineage: Eukaryota; Metazoa; Chordata; Mammalia; Rodentia; Sciuridae
Source: RNAcentral
CGUAAAACAAAAACCACACAUCCACAUCCAACAAAUGAGAUUGGAUCUUUUUCUUCUACAGUACAUAAAAACCUCUUUCAAAUGGAUGAAAGACUGAAAUGUGAAAUCUGGCACCAUAUAACUCCUAAAACAAUAUGUGAUAAAGGACUAUAUUAUUGUCCUCACAAUGGUCUUUCUCCAUAAGGCACCAAACUUUGGACCAUAAGAAAAACUGAACAAGUGGAGCUAUGUUAAAAUUAAAGGCUCCUGUGCAUCAAAGGAGAAACCAGCAACAUUUCCCCACUUCUCUCUUUGUUUUAUUGUUUGUUUUUCUUUUACUGUUUGUUAAAAUAUUUCUUAUGGUAACAAUACUUAAGGUUUAUCAUCUUACCAAAUAUUUAAAUGUACAGCACAUUUCUAUUGACCAUAGAUACCUUGUUGUAAGGAAGCUUUCUAGAGCUUAUUUAUCCUGCUUGACUGAAACUUUAUGCCCACUGAUCAGAACUGCCUUUUCUCCAUUCCCCUAGUUCCUGGCAACCACUGUUGCUAAGAAUCUAGCAAAAUUAAGACACACUAUGAGUGGGAGAAAAUUCCAGGAGGCAAAAUAUCCUAUGGAAAGUUGAUAUCUUUAUGACAGAAGAAGUUCAAGGGUAAAAAUAGGAAUAAUCCCACUACAAGUGAGUGAAGCACUUGAAUAAAAUGUUCCCUAUAGGAUAUAGCUAUGUGUAAAGGAGCUCCAUAUCACUAAUCAUGAGAGGAAUGCAAAUCCAAAUGACAUUGUCAUAUAUCCUACGCUAUUAGGAUAGUUCUGGAAGUUCAAAAUAUACCAGUUGGUGAGAAUGUUAGGGAAUAC